RNAcentral lists this microRNA precursor (73 nucleotides) under Myotis lucifugus (little brown bat). RNAcentral's name for it is "mir-9193 microRNA precursor family". It matches the Rfam family "mir-9193 microRNA precursor family". The record is from Rfam by way of RNAcentral. Lineage: Eukaryota; Metazoa; Chordata; Mammalia; Chiroptera; Vespertilionidae.
CUCGGGGAGGGGGGCCCCUUAGCCUAGAUUGCAACAGGGCGCAGGCCAGGCUGAGGGACUCCACUGGUGCAUG